Hyalella azteca is the source of this 402-nucleotide long non-coding RNA. RefSeq lists it as uncharacterized. The transcript has 3 exons. Lineage: Eukaryota; Metazoa; Arthropoda; Malacostraca; Amphipoda; Hyalellidae. The record is from RefSeq and is a predicted model, not a curated record.
GAGAGUCCAAGUCACCAGUUGAGUACCUCGACAGCCUCUGACAACAUCAUGUUCCGCCUCGUCUUCGCCGUCUUGCUGCUCUGCGCCGUCGCCCUCGCGGCCCCAGGCUUCGGUGGUUUUGGAGGCUUCGGAGGAUUUGGCCACGGUGGAUUCGGUGGCUUCGGACAUGGCGGUGGUUUUGGUCAUCACGGUGGAUUUGUUGGUGGAUUCGGGCGUGGUUUCGGAGGAGGAUUUGGACAUGGUUUUGGCCAUGGUGGAUUUUGGCGCUGAUGAGAAGUUGGGGAGAAAAAUUCUCCAAUUUCACUUGGUCACCUCAACUGGACGACUCGAUCGAACGAACACUUCCUCCUGCUAUUAUUUAUGAUUUUCUUUUGAACGAAUCAAAUAAAGAAUUGAAAUCUG